Molecule: long non-coding RNA, 190 nt
Organism: Condylura cristata (star-nosed mole)
Lineage: Eukaryota; Metazoa; Chordata; Mammalia; Eulipotyphla; Talpidae
Exons: 3
Source: RefSeq, a predicted model, not a curated record
CGUUCCGAGGUCAGAGGGGAAGGCAGGGCAACUCGACGGAGAGGUGCGAAGGAGGGUACAGUUCCAAGUCUCCUUGGAGGAUGGAAAAGUUUUUUUGCAGGGUUUCUCCUGUGUGUCCGCUGGUCAUCAAAAAUAAUCAGCUCGGGCCCUCCCUGGUGGCGCAGCGGCUUAAAGCACAGCACUAAGAAGC